This 369-nucleotide long non-coding RNA is filed under the name Homo sapiens (human). RNAcentral's name for it is "non-protein coding LINC02254:5". Lineage: Eukaryota; Metazoa; Chordata; Mammalia; Primates; Hominidae. The record is from RNAcentral.
UCCUUUGCUGAUAGGGCCUGCGUGCUGAUAGUUGAUUCAGUGAAUAUAUGUAGCAGUGAUAGCUCAUGGGCUCCAGAGGUCAGAUAUCUUAUUCUCUAGGCUGAAACCCUUGUUGCUUUAAGGAAACAGGAUUUUAAUAGGAAUCACAUGCAGAUUGACUACAGGGAGCCAAGCGGUAGUGGAAGAAGCAAAGUUGGCGGUUUUGGAGACGGACGUCUAUCUAUCCACAGUGGGACAAAAAUGAAGGUUAUUGAAAAGAAUCAUGCUUGGUGGAAGAAGUAAUUACAUUUUUUUUUCAAAUCUCAGAGGAAUAAUGCUUUUAUAUUUCCUGCGAUGACCCAAUUUGCACUACGAUAUGCUCCCUUAAAU